UUGCUUUGGCAGCACACAUACUAAAAUUGGAACAAUACAGAAAAGAUUAGCAUGGCCCCUGUGCAAGGAUGGCACGCAAAUUCGUGAAGUGUUCCAUAUUUUU
Molecule: small nuclear RNA, 103 nt
Organism: Myotis lucifugus (little brown bat)
Lineage: Eukaryota; Metazoa; Chordata; Mammalia; Chiroptera; Vespertilionidae
Source: Ensembl